This 72-nucleotide transfer RNA is filed under the name Camelus bactrianus (Bactrian camel). It matches the Rfam family "tRNA". From Rfam's summary of the family: Transfer RNA (tRNA) molecules are approximately 80 nucleotides in length. Their secondary structure includes four short double-helical elements and three loops (D, anti-codon, and T loops). Lineage: Eukaryota; Metazoa; Chordata; Mammalia; Artiodactyla; Camelidae. The record is from Rfam by way of RNAcentral. RNAcentral also lists the same sequence under 2 other names.
GAGGGUAAAGCUCAGUGGGAGAGCGCAUGCUCAGCAUGCACGAACUCGUGGGUUCAAUCCCCAGUACCUCCA